RNAcentral lists this transfer RNA (69 nucleotides) under Gymnothorax formosus (palenose moray). RNAcentral describes it as "tRNA-His". It matches the Rfam family "tRNA". From Rfam's summary of the family: Transfer RNA (tRNA) molecules are approximately 80 nucleotides in length. Lineage: Eukaryota; Metazoa; Chordata; Actinopteri; Anguilliformes; Muraenidae. The record is from RNAcentral.
GUAAACAUAGUUUAAAUAAAAUUCUAGAUUGUGAUUCUAGAGAUAGGAGAUAAAACCUUCUUGUUGACC